GGGACACGUGGUAUCCUGUCUGAAUAUGGGGGGACCAUCCUCCAAGGCUAAAUACUCCUGACUGACCGAUAGUGAACCAGUACCGUGAGGGAAAGGCGAAAAGAACCCCGGCGAGGGGAGUGAAAAAGAACCUGAAACCGUGUACGUACAAGCAGUGGGAGCACCUUCGGGUGUGACUGCGUACCUUUUGUAUAAUGGGUCAGCGACUUAUAUUCUGUAGCAAGGUUAACCGUAUAGGGGAGCCGCAGGGAAACCGAGUCUUAACUGGGCGUUAAGUUGCAGGGUAUAGACCCGAAACCCGGUGAUCUAGCCAUGGGCAGGUUGAAGGUUGGGUAACACUAACUGGAGGACCGAACCGACUAAUGUUGAAAAAUUAGCGGAUGACUUGUGGCUGGGGGUGAAAGGCCAAUCAAACCGGGAGAUAGCUGGUUCUCCCCGAAAGCUAUUUAGGUAGCGCCUCGUGAACUCAUCUUCGGGGGUAGAGCACUGUUUCGGCUAGGGGGUCAUCCCGACUUACCAACCCGAUGCAAACUACGAAUACCGAAGAAUGUUAUCACGGGAGACACACGGCGGGUGCUAACGUCCGUCGUGAAGAGGGAAACAACCCAGACCGCCAGCUAAGGUCCCAAAGUCAUGGUUAAGUGGGAAACGAUGUGGGAAGGCACAGACAGCCAGGAUGUUGGCUUAGAAGCAGCCAUCAUUUAAAGAAAGCGUAAUAGCUCACUGGUCGAGUCGGCCUGCGCGGAAGAUGUAACGGGGCUAAACCAUGCACCGAAGCUGCGGCAGCGACACUAUGUGUUGUUGGGUAGGGGAGCGUUCUGUAAGCCUGCGAAGGUGACCUGUGAGGGUUGCUGGAGGUAUCAGAAGUGCGAAUGCUGACAUAAGUAACGAUAAAGCGGGUGAAAAGCCCGCUCGCCGGAAGACCAAGGGUUCCUGUCCAACGUUAAUCGGGGCAGGGUGAGUCGACCCCUAAGGCGAGGCCGAAAGGCGUAGUCGAUGGGAAACAGGUUAAUAUUCCUGUACUUGGUGUUACUGCGAAGGGGGGACGGAGAAGGCUAUGUUAGCCGGGCGACGGUUGUCCCGGUUUAAGCAUGUAGGCUGGUUGUCCAGGCAAAUCCGGAUAAUCAAGGCUGAGGUGUGAUGACGAGGCACUACGGUGCUGAAGUAACAAAUGCCCUGCUUCCAGGAAAAG
RNAcentral lists this ribosomal RNA (1192 nucleotides) under Klebsiella pneumoniae. Its description in RNAcentral is "partial 23S ribosomal RNA". It matches the Rfam family "Bacterial large subunit ribosomal RNA", at positions 419 to 1617 of the family's 2925-position model. The record is from RNAcentral. Lineage: Bacteria; Pseudomonadati; Pseudomonadota; Gammaproteobacteria; Enterobacterales; Enterobacteriaceae.